CUGCAGGGAAAAAGGUUGCACUGAGUCAAUCCCCCCUUGACCACACUCCCCCAGGUGCAGCCAUGUCUCCCCUGGCACAAAACUUAAGUGGCAGAGAGAGGGAGGGACAGCAUGAGAAGUAGCUGUAGGUGUGUAGAGUCGGACCUUUAAGGAUCCCUUCCAACUCAAUGAUUCUAAGGCUCUAUGAGGCAGGAGCCUGUCCCAGGAUGCUCCCACCGUGCCCCAAUGGAGAUGUUCCCUUUGCAACCCAGAGAACUUCAGCUGCACCCAACGCAGCCAUGCUGGCAGUGAGAUGAAACCACUGCACAAAGCCAAGAACACAACUGUUUCCGUGUAGCUAAAUUACAGUAUCAAAGAGAGGGGCCCUGCCUGGAGCUGGUGGGACGCGGGGAUGUUUCCAUGCAUAUGGUGAGAUCUCCCAUCCGGAGCAAGGUCUACAUCAAUGGGAAGCUCUUCACCAGGAUGUGUUGGAAGAGCUGGUGGGAUUUGUCUGGUCUGGAGCAUCUUAGAAUCCACUGUAGACAUUUCCAGGAGGCUUUGCUCUGCUCCCCAGCUUUACUCCUCCCUACACCCCAUCAGAGUCACAUCAAAGAACACAGCCCUUUGUCUGGGCCCUGUUUGAUGUUCACUGCUAAUUUUUUUGCAUGCAGCAGUGCUUGACUCGUGCUGGUUCCCAUAAUAAACAGCCAUCGCAUUGCUCUUAAAUGACUGGG
This 713-nucleotide long non-coding RNA is filed under the name Coturnix japonica (Japanese quail). RNAcentral's name for it is "lncRNA (ENSCJPG00005006839.1)". Lineage: Eukaryota; Metazoa; Chordata; Aves; Galliformes; Phasianidae. The record is from RNAcentral.